UUUCUUCACAUUAAUGCCAACAUUAGUCUAUAUCCUCUGUCUAAAUUAUGUAUUUAAGACUAAGUAAUAUUUAGUUAUACAUUAAAAAACCUUUACUCACCAAGAUUAGGCUACAUUUUUGUUGAGGAAAUUAUUAAAUCCACUGUAAAUGGCUUCAGCGUGGUCCUGCGCUUAGGCAUUCAGCAGCAGCAUUGAACUUGACCGCUCAUUUAGCCUACCGUGCAAAGGCGGAGCACGAGCCCGUGUAAAAUGUUAGAAAUGAAGCCCGAAUCCGACCGAACCCGUCGGGUUCGGGCAAAGAUCUUCAGCUCUAAAAUAGCCGUUAUUUUCUCUGGUAAAUUAAAUUUAAAAUUAAUCUCGUCUCGUCGUUUGUCCACUAACAUCUGACUUUGUUGACACACGCCAUGUGUGCCACCAGAGCGGAAAUGACCUAAAACUUUUUCUUCUUUGCAACCAUAAAAGGACCUAAACCUUAAUCGCAAAUCAUUAUUUAUUCGGCAAAUAACGUUUCCAUCAGCGUUUAUCGGAUAAGCCAUAUAUCGAUCAAGAUAAAAUCCGAUGAGAUCGAACGUAUUUCUUUUGAGUCGAUAUUCAUGAAAUUCAAUCGAAUUUUACUGUUUCCAUAACGCAUUUUUCAUUCGAUAUCACUUAAUUCGGAUAAAAACAUGUGGAUGGAAACAUAGCUACUUUUACUCUUAUGAAUAUUGUACUUGUGAUUUCUAAAAGUUAUUUUUUUGUUUGUUUAUUUUGUGUUACAGGAAACUUCCACCUACAGUAAGCAGAUGCUGAGGCCCAGAUUUCCAUGCUAAGCACUCCAAGGCUCAUCAUGCUCGGAGAGUCCAAUCUGAGGGCAAAAAAUGGAUGCUUUCCAUCGAGUGCAGAGUUCUCCUCCAAUUGAGUGACCGUUGUGAUUUCGCUUCUGCUCUAGCCUUUUUGCGUCAUACUAUGUAUGAGGCAGCCACUACAUUGGGAUUUAUCCAGAGGGUAGAGUCCAGCCCAUGAAGUCAACUAGUUCAUGUCCAGAUUUAAAAGAAUAAUAUUUCUGAAAAAAAGGUCUUGGAGAAAAACAAUAUUCAGGUUUGAAAUCCUGCUGUAAAUGUAAAUCAUUUAACUUUUAUGCAUUUGUAAUUUACCAGAAACUUUUUAAUAAAUAUUGAUUGUUUUGUAUGU
This is a non-coding RNA of Misgurnus anguillicaudatus (oriental weatherfish), 1170 nucleotides long. NCBI's taxonomy places the organism in Eukaryota, Metazoa, Chordata, Actinopteri, Cypriniformes, Cobitidae. The record is from RefSeq and is a predicted model, not a curated record.